RNAcentral lists this microRNA precursor (203 nucleotides) under Oryza nivara. RNAcentral's name for it is "MIR812 microRNA precursor family". It matches the Rfam family "MIR812 microRNA precursor family". The record is from Rfam by way of RNAcentral. Lineage: Eukaryota; Viridiplantae; Streptophyta; Magnoliopsida; Poales; Poaceae.
UAUAAGGGAUUUUAAGAUUUUGUUUGUAACGUUUGACCACUCGUCUUAUUUAAAAUUUUUUAAAAUUAUUAUUUAUUUUAUCUGUGACUUACUUUAUUAUCUACAGUAUUUUAAGUGUGACUUUUCGUUUUUUAUAUUUGCAAAAAAAAUUUAAAUAAGACGAGUAGUCAAACGUUGCAAACAAAAACUCAAAAUCCCUUAUA